RNAcentral lists this ribosomal RNA (761 nucleotides) under marine bacterium AK6_090. Its description in RNAcentral is "bacterial SSU rRNA". It matches the Rfam family "Bacterial small subunit ribosomal RNA", at positions 66 to 812 of the family's 1533-position model. The record is from RNAcentral.
GCAGCACAGUAAGAGCUUGCUCUUAUGGGUGGCGAGUGGCGGACGGGUGAGGAAUACAUCGGAAUCUACUUUUUCGUGGGGGAUAACGUAGGGAAACUUACGCUAAUACCGCAUACGACCUUCGGGUGAAAGCAGGGGACCUUCGGGCCUUGCGCGAUUGAAUGAGCCGAUGUCGGAUUAGCUAGUUGGCGGGGUAAAGGCCCACCAAGGCGACGAUCCGUAGCUGGUCUGAGAGGAUGAUCAGCCACACUGGAACUGAGACACGGUCCAGACUCCUACGGGAGGCAGCAGUGGGGAAUAUUGGACAAUGGGCGCAAGCCUGAUCCAGCCAUACCGCGUGGGUGAAGAAGGCCUUCGGGUUGUAAAGCCCUUUUGUUGGGAAAGAAAAGCAGCGGGCUAAUACCUUGCUGUUCUGACGGUACCCAAAGAAUAAGCACCGGCUAACUUCGUGCCAGCAGCCGCGGUAAUACGAAGGGUGCAAGCGUUACUCGGAAUUACUGGGCGUAAAGCGUGCGUAGGUGGUUGUUUAAGUCUGUUGUGAAAGCCCUGGGCUCAACCUGGGAACUGCAGUGGAAACUGGAUGACUAGAGUGUGGUAGAGGGUAGCGGAAUUCCCGGUGUAGCAGUGAAAUGCGUAGAGAUCGGGAGGAACAUCCAUGGCGAAGGCAGCUACCUGGGACCAACACUGACACUGAGGCACGAAAGCGUGGGGGAGCAAACGGGAUUAGAUACCCCUGGGUAGUCCACGCCCCUAAACGAUGC